GGAAAGGUGAAAAGAACCCCGAACAGGGGAGUGAAAUAGAACCUGAAACCAUACGCUUACAACCGGUCGGAGCAGCUUCGUGCUGUGACGGCGUGCCUAUUGAAUAAUGAGCCUACGAGUUACUAAUCACUAGCGAGGUUAAGUGCAAGGAUGCACGGAGCCGAAGCGAAAGCGAGUCUGAACAGGGCGUUUAGUUAGUGGUUGUAGACGCGAAACCUUGCGAUCUACCCUUGAGCAGGUUGAAGGUUGGGUAAAACCAACUGGAGGACCGAACGAAUAAGCGUUGAAAAGCUUCUCGAUGACUUGAGGGUAGGGGUGAAAGGCUAAUCAAGCUGGGAAAUAGCUCGUACUCCCCGAAAUGCCUUUAGGGGCAGCGUUGUAAUAAAGAGUCUACUGGAGGUAGAGCUACUGAUUGGAUGCGGGGGCUUCACCGCCUACCAAAUCCUGACAAACUCCGAAUGCCAGUAGUAUGAUUUACAGCAGUGAGUGACUGGGUGCUAAUGUCCAGUCGCAAAAGAGGAACAACUCAGACCAGCAACUAAGGUCCCGAAGAAUAUGCUAAGUUGAUCUAACGAUGUUUUGUUGCAGAGACAGCUAGGAUGUUAGCUUGGAAGCAGCUAUUCAUUCAAAGAGUGCGUAACAGCUCACUAGUCGAGCGACAGAGCGUGGAUAAUAAACGGGCAUCAAGCAUAUCACCGAAGUUCUGGGCGCGAGAGCGCGGUAGGGGAGCAUUCCAUUCAGCGUCGAAGCAGUUUCGUGAGGAAUUGUGGAGCGUAUGGAAAAGCAAAUGUAGGCAUGAGUAACGAUAAUGCGGGAGAGUAACCCGCACACCGCAAGACCAAGGUUUCCUGAUCAACGCUAAUCGGAUCAGGGUUAGUCGGGUCCUAAGGGUAAGCCGAACGGCGAUCUCGAUGGAUAAUCGGUUAAUAUUCCGAUACUAACAUAUACCUCGAUGGAGAGACGAAGGAACGUAAGUGCCGCCACCUGACGGAAUAGGUGGUUAAAGGGCGUAGGUAUAGGGGCAGAUUAAGAGUUAGUCCUUGCUGAAACCUGACAGUACAGAGAGCCUACGGGCAAUUUGAUAGAGCACCCAAGUCGACUUCCGAGAAAAUCUUCUAAGUUAUAGUAUAUGUUACCCGUACCGUAAACCGACACAGGUGGUCGAGGAGAGUAUCCUAAGGUGCUCGAGUGAAUCACGGUUAAGGAACUAGGCAAAUUAACCCCGUAACUUCGGGAAAAGGGGUCCCUAUGAAAGUAGGGCGCAGCGAAGAGGUCCAGGCGACUGUUUAUCAAAAACACAGGGCUCUGCAAAUUCGAAAGAAGACGUAUAGGGCCUGACACCUGCCCGGUGCUGGAAGGUUAAGAGGGGAUGUCAUCGCAAGAGAAGCAUUGAAUCGAAGCCCCAGUAAACGGCGGCCGUAACUAUAACGGUCCUAAGGUAGCGAAAUUCCUUGUCGGGUAAGUUCCGACCUGCACGAAUGGUGUAACGAUCUGGACACUGUCUCAACCGUGAGCUCGGUGAAAUUGUAGUAUCGGUGAAGAUGCCGAUUACCCGCGAUGGGACGAAAAGACCCCGUGAACCUUUACUAUAGCUUAACAUUGAAUUUGGGUAAUUGAUGUGUAGGAUAGGCCGGAGGCUUUGAAGCAGGUACGCCAGUAUUUGUGGAGCCGCUGUUGAAAUACGGCCCUUUGAUUAUUUGAGUUCUAACCCGUUGUUGCGGGGACACUGUUUGGUGGGUAGUUUGACUGGGGUGGUCGCCUCCAAAAGCGUAACGG
This 1776-nucleotide ribosomal RNA is filed under the name wastewater metagenome. Its description in RNAcentral is "bacterial LSU rRNA". It matches the Rfam family "Bacterial large subunit ribosomal RNA", at positions 508 to 2303 of the family's 2925-position model. The record is from RNAcentral.